This 377-nucleotide ribosomal RNA is filed under the name uncultured bacterium. RNAcentral describes it as "bacterial SSU rRNA". It matches the Rfam family "Bacterial small subunit ribosomal RNA", at positions 521 to 896 of the family's 1533-position model. The record is from RNAcentral.
UAAUACGUAGGGUCCAAGCGUUGUCCGGAGUUACUGGGCGUAAAGCGCGCGCAGGCGGUCGCGUUGGCCCGGCGUGAAAGCCCCCGGCUCAACCGGGGAGGGUCGUCGGGGACCGCGCGACUUGAGGUCGGCAGGGGCCGGUGGAAUGCCCGGUGUAGUGGUGAAAUGCGUAGAGAUCGGGCGGAACACCCGUGGCGAAGGCGGCCGGCUGGGCCGUACCUGACGCUGAGGCGCGAAGGCGUGGGGAGCGAACGGGAUUAGAUACCCCGGUAGUCCACGCAGUAAACGAUGCGGACUAGGCGUGGGGGGACUUGACCCCCUCCGUGCCGGAGCUAACGCGUGAAGUCCGCCGCCUGGGGAGUACGGCCGCAAGGCUA